This 443-nucleotide ribosomal RNA is filed under the name uncultured bacterium. RNAcentral's name for it is "partial 16S ribosomal RNA". It matches the Rfam family "Bacterial small subunit ribosomal RNA", at positions 338 to 795 of the family's 1533-position model. The record is from RNAcentral.
CCUACGGGUGGCAGCAGUGGGGAAUAUUGGGCAAUGAGCGCAAGCCUGACCCAGCAACGCCGCGUGAAGGAAGAAGGCUUUCGGGUUGUAAACUUCUUUUCUCAGGGACGAAGAAAGUGACGGUACCUGAGGAAUAAGCCACGGGUAACUACGUGCAAGCCGCCGGCGGAAUACGUAGGUGGCAAGCGUUAUGCGGAUUUACUGGGUGUAAAGGGCGGAUAUGCGGGGACGCAAGUCAGAUGUGAAAACCACGGGCUCAACCUGUGACCUGCAUUUGAUACUGUGUUUCUUGAGUACUGGAGAGGCAGACGGAAUUCCUAGUGUAGCGGUGAAAUGCGUAGAUAUUAGGAGGAACACCAGUGGCGAAGGCAGUCUGCUGGACAGCAACUGACGCUGAGGCGCGAAAGCGUGGGGAGCAAACAGGAUUAGAUACCCGAGUAGUC